This 250-nucleotide ribosomal RNA is filed under the name uncultured bacterium. RNAcentral describes it as "partial 16S ribosomal RNA". It matches the Rfam family "Bacterial small subunit ribosomal RNA", at positions 524 to 773 of the family's 1533-position model. The record is from RNAcentral.
UACGAAGGGGGCGAGCGUUGUUCGGAAUCACUGGGCUUAAAGCGUACGUAGGCGGACAAGAAAGUCAGAUGUGAAAUCCCGGGGCUCAACCCCGGAACUGCAUUUGAAACUUCUUGUCUAGAGUCCCGGAGAGGUUAGCAGAAUUCCGAGUGUAGAGGUGAAAUUCGCAGAUAUUCGGAGGAAUACCAGUGGCGAAGGCGGCUAACUGGACGGGUACUGACGCUGAGGUACGAAAGCGUGGGGAGCAAAC